RNAcentral lists this ribosomal RNA (497 nucleotides) under uncultured bacterium. RNAcentral's name for it is "partial 16S ribosomal RNA". It matches the Rfam family "Bacterial small subunit ribosomal RNA", at positions 28 to 507 of the family's 1533-position model. The record is from RNAcentral.
GAUGAACGCUGGCGGCGUGCCUAAUACAUGCAAGUCGAGCGAACAGACGAGGAGCUUGCUCCUCUGACGUUAGCGGCGGACGGGUGAGUAACACGUGGAUAACCUACCUAUAAGACUGGGAUAACUUCGGGAAACCGGAGCUAAUACCGGAUAAUAUAUUGAACCGCAUGGUUCAAUAGUGAAAGACGGUUUUGCUGUCACUUAUAGAUGGAUCCGCGCCGCAUUAGCUAGUUGGUAAGGUAACGGCUUACCAAGGCAACGAUGCGUAGCCGACCUGAGAGGGUGAGAGCCCACACGGGAACUGAGACAGGGACCAGCCCCCAAGGGGAGGAAGAAGGAGGGAAUCUUCCGAAAGGGGCAAAAGCGGGACGGACCACCGCGGAGUGGGGGAGGAAGGUCUUGGAAUCUAAAAACUUUUUUAUGGGGGAAAAAAAAAUGUGAAAGAAACUAUGCACGUUUAGAGGGAACCUAAUAAGAAAGCCACGGCAAACUACGUG